This 732-nucleotide long non-coding RNA is filed under the name Bos taurus (domestic cattle). Its description in RNAcentral is "long non-coding RNA NONBTAT022233". The record is from RNAcentral. Lineage: Eukaryota; Metazoa; Chordata; Mammalia; Artiodactyla; Bovidae.
CAAUACAUACACAAGACUAUACCUUUUUUGAAGACUGCAAUAAUUUUCUAGUGUAACAACUCUGUAACAAAAUUUAACUAAAUGUAACAUUUAUGAAAAUAUAAAUCUCUGAUUGGGUAAUUCUUCCCAACAAUACAAAGUUUACAUAAAAACAUUCAAUAUGAGCUAUCAGUUGCAAACAAGUUAGGAAAAAUCAUUCAAGUCACUUGUUAAAACUCUAUUAGCUGUUACAUAGAACAUUCACACUACAUUGAAUCCAUCUAGGCAUUUAAUUCUUAGAAAGGUGUAGCAUGGAGGUCCAACUGAUAAUGACAGGAAUAAGAAUGUAUUACCUCCAAAGAGCUAAAAAAAAAAAAGCAUUGACUCAUACAAUCAACUCCAAGUAAUCUGUACGUGGGCUGAAACUUCUCUGGGCUACCACCUCCCUGGUUGGUAGCUAGACAAGGAGGAACAUACUGGAAAAAAAUCUUUUCACUGGGGUGUUUCCUAUCUGAACCUCAUCUCUGUAUGCUUAUGUGUCAAACUGCUUUCCAAAGUGAAAUACAGCUAUAUUGGAUUCCCUGUGGGUUAGAUCAUUUGUUUCUGCCAUUAGCAUUAACAAUUAGGAUGUAGCUCUCCUUUUUUCUCACAUUUUUCCCCCACAUCUCUGUGAGGUCAACAGAGGAACUAUCACUACCUUUAUUCUUGCAGUUUAAGAAAACAAUACGUUUGGGACGUUAAAGAUCUGUCUAU